CCUAAAAAGUUCUGAGGGCAUAAAGGUUUGGUCCUAGCCUUAUUAUCAAUUAUCUCUUAACUUACACAUGCAAGUCUCAGCACACCCGUGAGGACGCCCUUUACCCCUACCCCAGGCUUAGGAGCUGGUAUCAGGCACAACUAUUUGCCCAUAACACCUAGUCCCACCACACCCCCAAGGGUAUUCAGCAGUGAUAAAUAUUGUUUAUAAGCGCUAGCUUGACCCAGUUAUAGAGAAGAGAGCCGGCCAACUUGGUGCCAGCCGCCGCGGCUAGACCAACUGGACUCAAAUUGAUAACCCCCGGCGUUAAGCGUGAUUAAAGCCAUAAAUAAAUUAGAGUUAAACCUACGUUGAGCAGUGAAAAGCACACGAUAGGGAAACCCAAAAACGAAAGCUACUCUAAUCCUUGCUUGAACCCACGACAGCUAGGACACAAACUGGG
Molecule: ribosomal RNA, 442 nt
Filed under: Hoplobatrachus tigerinus (Indus valley bullfrog)
Lineage: Eukaryota; Metazoa; Chordata; Amphibia; Anura; Dicroglossidae
Description: partial 12S rRNA
Source: RNAcentral